Molecule: ribosomal RNA, 398 nt
Filed under: uncultured bacterium
Lineage: Bacteria
Description: partial 16S ribosomal RNA
Rfam family: Bacterial small subunit ribosomal RNA
Source: RNAcentral
CCUACGGGGAGCAGCAGUGAGGAAUAUUGGUCAAUGGGCGGGAGCCUGAACCAGCCAAGUCGCGUGAAGGAAGAAGGUACUGAGUAUUGUAAACUUCUUUUGUCGGGGAACAAAGUCUGAGACGCGUCCCCGGUUGAGUGUACCCGAAGAAAAAGCAUCGGCUAACUCCGUGCCAACAGCCGCGGUAAUACGGGGGAUGCGAGCGUUAUCCGGAUUUAUUGGGUUUAAGGGGUGCGCAGGGGGGGGGUAAAGUCAGCGGUAAAAUGUCGGGGCUAAACCCCGGCCGGCCGUUGAAACUGGUGGUCUAGAGUUGGGGAGAGGUAGGCGGAAUUCGUGGUGUAGCGGUGAAAUGCAUAGAUAUCACGAAGAACUCCGAUUGCGAAGGCAGCAUACCGGCU